Molecule: unclassified non-coding RNA, 320 nt
Filed under: fungal sp.
Lineage: Eukaryota; Fungi
Description: partial internal transcribed spacer region
Rfam family: Eukaryotic small subunit ribosomal RNA (bases 1-46)
Source: RNAcentral
AAGUCGUAACAAGGUUUCCGUAGGUGAACCUGCGGAAGGAUCAUUAACAUUUGUAUUUGAUUGUGGGUGGUGGUGUUGUUGUGUGCUUUUGCAUGCAACUCAUCAUUACCUCAACCCCAUUGUGUGCAUGUUUUGUGUGUGUGUGCGAGUAGUAAGGGGAGGUUUUUACCUCUCCUUCUCUCACCCCACUUCUUUCACUUUCACACCCAAACCCCUUCUUCUCAUCACACUAGACUGACUUUACACCUCGUUUUACUCAGGCUCAACUGAGCAAAACAUCAAUCAGCAUACAACUCUUAGCAACGGAUAUCUAGGCUCUC